Molecule: ribosomal RNA, 253 nt
Filed under: uncultured bacterium
Lineage: Bacteria
Description: partial 16S ribosomal RNA
Rfam family: Bacterial small subunit ribosomal RNA
Source: RNAcentral
UACAGAGGUGGCAAGCGUUGUUCGGAAUUACUGGGCGUAAAGGGCGCGUAGGCGGUUCGUUAAGUCCUGUGUGAAAUCCCCCGGCUCAACUGGGGAACUGCACAGGAAACUAGCGGGCUUGAGUACGGAAGAGGCGAGUGGAAUUCCUGGUGUAGCGGUGAAAUGCGCAGAUAUCAGGAGGAACACCAAUGGCGAAGGCAGCACUCUGGGACGUGACUGACGCUGAGACGCGAAAGCGUGGGGAGCAAACAGG